This 392-nucleotide ribosomal RNA is filed under the name uncultured bacterium. RNAcentral's name for it is "partial 16S ribosomal RNA". It matches the Rfam family "Bacterial small subunit ribosomal RNA", at positions 523 to 918 of the family's 1533-position model. The record is from RNAcentral.
AUACGGAGGAUCCGAGCGUUAUCCGGAUUUAUUGGGUUUAAAGGGUGCGCAGGCGGCCAUUUAAGUCAGCGGUUAAAUCGUGGGGCUCAACCCCAUUCUGCCGUUGAUACUGGGUGGCUUGAUUGCGGUCGAGGUUGGCGGAAUUCGUUGUGUAGCGGUGAAAUGCAUAGAUAUGACGAAGAACACCGAUUGCGUAGGCAGCUGACCAGACCGCAAAUGACGCUCAUGCACGCAAGUGCGGUGAUCGAACAGGAUUAGAUUCCCGGGUAGGCCGCACAGUAAACGAUGAAUACUUGUUUUCGGCGAUAUAAUGUCGGAGGCAAAGCGAAAGCGAUAAGUAUUCCACCUGGGGAGUACGCCGGCAACGGUGAAACUCAAAGGAAUUGACGGGG